UACGGCGAGUGAAGCGGCAAAAGCUCAAAUUUGAAAUCUGGCACCUUCGGUGUCCGAGUUGUAAUUUGAAGAAGGUAACUUUGGAGUUGGCUCUUGUCUAUGUUCCUUGGAACAGGACGUCACAGAGGGUGAGAAUCCCGUGCGAUGAGAUGCCCAAUUCUAUGUAAAGUGCUUUCGAAGAGUCGAGUUGUUUGGGAAUGCAGCUCUAAGUGGGUGGUAAAUUCCAUCUAAAGCUAAAUAUUGGCGAGAGACCGAUAGCGAACAAGUACAGUGAUGGAAAGAUGAAAAGAACUUUGAAAAGAGAGUGAAAAAGUACGUGAAAUUGUUGAAAGGGAAGGGCUUGAGAUCAGACUUGGUAUUUUGCGAUCCUUUCCUUCUUGGUUGGGUUCCUCGCAGCUUACUGGGCCAGCAUCGGUUUGGAUGGUAGGAUAAUGACUAAGGAAUGUGGCUCUACUUCGGUGGAGUGUUAUAGCCUUGGUUGAUACUGCCUGUCUAGACCGAGGACUGCGUCUUUGACUAGGAUGCUGGCAUAAUGAUCUUAAGCCACCCGUCUUGAA
Molecule: ribosomal RNA, 557 nt
Filed under: Debaryomyces hansenii
Lineage: Eukaryota; Fungi; Ascomycota; Pichiomycetes; Serinales; Debaryomycetaceae
Description: partial large subunit ribosomal RNA
Rfam family: Eukaryotic large subunit ribosomal RNA
Source: RNAcentral